Molecule: non-coding RNA, 73 nt
Organism: Cladobotryum mycophilum
Lineage: Eukaryota; Fungi; Ascomycota; Sordariomycetes; Hypocreales; Hypocreaceae
Source: the annotation of a GenBank genome assembly
GUUUAUAUAGUUUAAUGGUAUAACGCUUGGUUAUUUAGGCUAAAAAGUAUAGGUUCGAAUUCUAUUAUAAGCG